GACCAGACUCCUACGGGAGGCAGCAGUGGGGAAUAUUGCACAAUGGGGGAAACCCUGAUGCAGCGACGCCGCGUGAGCGAUGAAGUAUUUCGGUAUGUAAAGCUCUAUCAGCAGGGAAGAAGAUGACGGUACCUGACUAAGAAGCCCCGGCUAACUACGUGCCAGCAGCCGCGGUAAUACGUAGGGGGCAAGCGUUAUCCGGAUUUACUGGGUGUAAAGGGAGCGUAGACGGCGAUGCAAGCCAGAUGUGAAAGCCCGGGGCUCAACCCCGGGACUGCAUUUGGAACUGUGUGGCUGGAGUGUCGGAGAGGCAGGCGGAAUUCCUAGUGUAGCGGUGAAAUGCGUAGAUAUUAGGAGGAACACCAGUGGCGAAGGCGGCCUGCUGGACGAUGACUGACGUUGAGGCUCGAAAGCGUGGGGAGCAAACAGGAUUAGAUACCCUUGUAC
Molecule: ribosomal RNA, 447 nt
Filed under: uncultured bacterium
Lineage: Bacteria
Description: bacterial SSU rRNA
Rfam family: Bacterial small subunit ribosomal RNA
Source: RNAcentral